This 300-nucleotide ribosomal RNA is filed under the name uncultured Colwelliaceae bacterium. RNAcentral describes it as "bacterial SSU rRNA". It matches the Rfam family "Bacterial small subunit ribosomal RNA", at positions 114 to 415 of the family's 1533-position model. Lineage: Bacteria; Pseudomonadati; Pseudomonadota; Gammaproteobacteria; Alteromonadales; Colwelliaceae. The record is from RNAcentral.
UGCUUGGGAAUAUGCCUUUAGGUGGGGGACAACAGUUGGAAACGACUGCUAAUACCGCAUAACGUCUACGGACCAAAGGAGGGGAUUCUUCGGAACCUUUCGCCUUUAGAUUAGCCCAAGUGAGAUUAGCUAGAUGGUGGGGUAAUGGCCUACCAUGGCGACGAUCUCUAGCUGGUUUGAGAGGAUGAUCAGCCACACUGGGACUGAGACACGGCCCAGGCUUCUACGGAAGGCAGCAGUGGGGAAUCUUGGACAAUGGGCGCAAGCCUGAUCCAGCCAUGCCGCGUGAGUGAUGAAGGC